This 253-nucleotide ribosomal RNA is filed under the name uncultured bacterium. RNAcentral's name for it is "partial 16S ribosomal RNA". It matches the Rfam family "Bacterial small subunit ribosomal RNA", at positions 524 to 776 of the family's 1533-position model. The record is from RNAcentral.
UACGUAGGGGGCUAGCGUUGUCCGGAAUCAUUGGGCGUAAAGAGCGUGUAGGCGGUUCGGUAAGUCCGCUGUGAAAGUCCAGGGCUCAACCCUGGAAUGCCAGUGGAAACUGCCGAGCUAGAGUCCGGAAGAGGCGAGUGGAAUUCCUGGUGUAGCGGUGAAAUGCGCAGAUAUCAGGAGGAACACCGGUGGCGAAGGCGGGUCUCUGGGCCGAUACUGACGCUGAGGAGCGAAAGCGUGGGGAGCGAACAGG